RNAcentral lists this transfer RNA (70 nucleotides) under Maoricolpus roseus. Its description in RNAcentral is "tRNA-Gln". Lineage: Eukaryota; Metazoa; Mollusca; Gastropoda; Turritellidae. The record is from RNAcentral.
UUUGACAGGGGGAAGUAGGGAUCCCCUCCCUAGAAAUCAAAAUUCUUUGUGCUCACACACCGCUAUCAAU